CAGCAGCCACGGGAAUACGGAGGGUGCAAGCGUUAAUCGGAAUUACUGGGCGUAAAGCGCACGCAGGCGGUUUGUUAAGUCAGAUGUGAAAUCCCCGAGCUUAACUUGGGAACUGCAUUUGAAACUGGCAAGCUAGAGUCUUGUAGAGGGGGGUAGAAUUCCAGGUGUAGCGGUGAAAUGCGUAGAGAUCUGGAGGAAUACCGGUGGCGAAGGCGGCCCCCUGGACAAAGACUGACGCUCAGGUGCGAAAGCGUGGGGAGCAAACAGGAUUAGAUACACCAGUAGUCCCUGUCUCUUAUAC
RNAcentral lists this ribosomal RNA (301 nucleotides) under uncultured bacterium. RNAcentral's name for it is "partial 16S ribosomal RNA". It matches the Rfam family "Bacterial small subunit ribosomal RNA", at positions 509 to 807 of the family's 1533-position model. The record is from RNAcentral.